UACGUAGGGCGCGAGCGUUGUCCGGAAUUAUUGGGCGUAAAGAGCUCGUAGGCGGCCUGUUGCGUCCGCUGUGAAAUCCCAGGGCUCAACCCUGGGCGUGCAGUGGAUACGGGCAGGCUGGAGGCAGGCAGGGGAGAACGGAAUUCCCGGUGUAGCGGUGAAAUGCGCAGAUAUCGGGAGGAACACCGGUGGCGAAGGCGGCAUCCUGGACUGGUCCUGACACUCAUGAGCGAAAGCGUGGGGAGCGAUCCGG
This 253-nucleotide ribosomal RNA is filed under the name uncultured bacterium. RNAcentral describes it as "partial 16S ribosomal RNA". It matches the Rfam family "Bacterial small subunit ribosomal RNA", at positions 524 to 776 of the family's 1533-position model. The record is from RNAcentral.